RNAcentral lists this ribosomal RNA (311 nucleotides) under uncultured bacterium. Its description in RNAcentral is "bacterial SSU rRNA". It matches the Rfam family "Bacterial small subunit ribosomal RNA", at positions 30 to 339 of the family's 1533-position model. The record is from RNAcentral.
AUUGAACGCUGGCGGCAGGCCUAACACAUGCAAGUCGAGCGGUAGAGAGGUGCUUGCAUCUCUUGAGAGCGGCGGACGGGUGAGUAAUGCCUAGGAAUCUGCCCUGGUAGUGGGGGAUAACGUUCGGAAACGAACGCUAAUACCGCAUACGUCCUACGGGAGAAAGCAGGGGGACCUUCGGGCCUUGCGCUAUCAGAUGAGCCUAGGUCGGAUUAGCUAGUUGGUGAGGUAAUGGCUCACCAAGGCGACGAUCCGUAACUGGUCUGAGAGGAUGAUCAGUCACACUGGAACUGAGACACGGUCCAGACUCC